GACGAACGCUGGCGGCGUGCCUAAUACAUGCAAGUUGAGCGCUGAAGGUUGGUACUUGUACCAACUGGAUGAGCAGCGAACGGGUGAGUAACGCGUGGGGAAUCUGCCUUUGAGCGGGGGACAACAUUUGGAAACGAAUGCUAAUACCGCAUAAAAACUUUAAACACAAGUUUUAAGUUUGAAAGAUGCAAUUGCAUCACUCAAAGAUGAUCCCGCGUUGUAUUAGCUAGUUGGUGAGGUAAAGGCUCACCAAGGCGAUGAUACAUAGCCGACCUGAGAGGGUGAUCGGCCACAUUGGGACUGAGACACGGCCCAAACGCCUACGGGAGGCAGCAGUAGGGAAUCCUCGGCAAUGGACGAAAGUCUGACCGAGAAACGCCGCGUGAGUGAAGAAGGAUUUCGGAUCGUAAAACUCUGUUGGUAGAGAAGAAAGUUGGUGAGAGUGGAAAGCUCAUCAAGUGACGGUAACUACCCAGAGAGGGACGGCUAACUACGUG
RNAcentral lists this ribosomal RNA (497 nucleotides) under uncultured bacterium. RNAcentral describes it as "partial 16S ribosomal RNA". It matches the Rfam family "Bacterial small subunit ribosomal RNA", at positions 28 to 507 of the family's 1533-position model. The record is from RNAcentral.